AACAAACGCACAACCCAAAUUACAUUUUUGCAGUCUUAACGGAUGGUAGCUAGCUCCUUAUUAUUUGUAGGCAACUUGGGCGCUGGAGAUAUACUUUCAAAAGAAACAUUACAGUAAGUGGAUAUUUUAGGCUUAUAAAGCCACGGGUUCCACUAGUGUAGAAACUAUAAAAUCUUUUAGCCCACCGUCAGCAUUAUUGUAGCCAUCUUCGCACUUGUACACAACAUCCAUGACCCGAGCAAAAUUGAGAAUACGAAUUAGCAGGGGCAUGGCGACAGCGGUAGGGUGGAGGCACGCUUCGUUUAUGUCCUUCCAUGCAUUAUUCACUUGUCUUCGAAGUUCGAUUAUCGCUUCUUCUUCUGUGGCACCAUAUUUUCUCAUGUAACAGUUCACAGCUGAGGCAAAAUGUUCUCUCUCUUGCUCAAGCUAGUCAGGCAUGAGGAUUAAGAUAAAGGAAGACCAUUAAUAUAAGUAUUAAUGCAAUCAUAAUAGUCAUGCUUGUCAAGAUUUCAGUUAGGGGUUCAACAGUUCACUACUAAUGGGUCAAGCAGUGAUACUAUUCUAACUUAACCAUUUGCUAGUCCAGCAGGCGUAGGCUUUUGUAUAAAAGCGUCCAAUGCAAUUAGAAGUGGAACCAAUUGAUAUGAGUUAUAUUUUAUUCUGUCUGGUUUUCAGCGUGAGACUGUUUACAUUCUACAAUACUCAUUAAUACUAUUUACAUAUACGAUUAAGUACCUUAUGGUCCGCUAUGUCAUCCAUAAGUCUGGUAACUGUUGAUGCAGCCUUCACUGCUUGAGGGGAAGUUAACAACCAAUCAAAGGAGUCUAUUGUAGCUUCUUCCAUUCCAACAAACGAUGUGGUUAUUAGCAACGGGUAGCCACAGGUCAUGAGUGAUACAGACAUGUAUUCAUCCAAUGAUGGCAUGUGAUUCUGGCGGAACAAUUUCGCUUCAUCGAAGAAGCCUCUAACUUGGUUCUUCAUCUGGCACAUACCAGAUCAAGAGAUUAUAUCAAUUUUUAUCGUUUCUACUUUUAAUUAAUACUGAUAUAUAAAGAUUAUUAUAAAUAAUUAUUUGUUUCUAUACAUAUUGUGAAGUAUUUACAGCACGUUUUUCUGGCCUUUUAACAACUUUAGACUCAAAACUAAGCGCAUAUAUAUAUAUAUAUAUAUAUAUAUGGAUUAUUACCGCUUCUCUUGCAUGGUCGAUGCGAUAUAAUUUCCCCUCGUGCGCAAGCUUUUCAUGAAUUUCACUGUAUAUAUUCAACAAUGCACGAUAGCAAAGUUUCAUAUACUCUGGUAGUUGAUCUAUAGCUGAGACAUCCCACCUGAUCAAGUAAUAUAUAAAUCAGUUGUGCGUAAUUUAGUUUUUCUGUUUUGAUCGGAUGUAAGGUAAGAUAAUUUAUACAAGAGAAUUUUAACUAAUGAUAUAUUCAUACCUCUCAAUAGCUUCAGUAAAGAGCUCUAGUUCUUCAAAUUUUCCAUGUGUAUCAUAAAUGUCAUCCAUAAUGGAUGUUAUAGCGGUAACUUUGCAUGAUGUCCUCCUAGCAAAGGAAUACUGAGGCUGAAAGUAGACAGACAUACUCCAGCAGAAGUAGACCUCAACCAAUCUGUCUCUUGCGAAAGGUAGCUUGUUUGGCACGUCCAAGUCCUUCCACCACCUGAGUUACAAAAAUAAGUAUUUAUUAGUAGCUAGAGGUGGAGAAUUCAACUCUUUAGUAAGUGAUGUAUAUGGAUGAAUAAGGAAUUAAUUUACCUUGUGAUUUCGCUUAGUUCUUUCUGAUGGACUCGUUGCAGUCGGUUGAAAUCCAACUUGGCGAACGUUAGGAGAGUUUCAUUUGGUGAUUCUCUUAGUUCCUCGUAGACAGACAAGUAAUACCUUGCUUCAACCCUUGGUAAACCCUUUCGGAGCUGCUGAUUUAAGGCAUGGGUUACUGUUUUUGCAAGUGGGGGGCUUAGACGGUAUAUAGUCAACUCAAGCUGCGUGGUUGUGAAGGUUAGUGCCUCAUCUAGUAUCUCCUCUCCAUGUAUUCUAAGGUGUGUGGCUUCAUACAAGCUUAGUAGUCCUACAACAUCAUCAACGAGUGUUUCCUUGAAUUUUCCAUCACCGUCCUUGAAUUUGUUGAAUAAGUCUGCAUGACCAACAAAAUGGAAAAUUCAGAACCUCAAAAAGCAUUUAGAUAAAAAGAACAAAAUAUAUCACCAGAUCACCAUCCGAGAGUACUUACCGCAUGAAACGUUAUAACCUUGUUGUCUAAGCAGUCGAAAAUGAAGAGCAGUGGUGUACAGGUCAUCCAAAUCAUAUGAGUUCUCGUGAAUUUUCUGUAAAAUUUCUUCAAUCUCAUUUCCAAAAUGGUAGGACACACCUAAGCGCUGAAUGUCAUCAAUCAAGUUCAGCUUUUGUGAAACAUUUUCAACUGAAGUCAUUAGCAUCCUUCUCACUUCUUCCUUCAGUUCUUGUACAUGUUGUUCAAGUUCAACAUCCACUUCCUCCAUAGCAUCACGUUGAUUUAAGAAAAAAGAAAACGCAUAACCUUUACAAUAUGUUUGAUACCAAAAGAUAUAGACUACAAUUAAUAUAAGAUGAUUAUAAGUUUGGUAACACAUUAGAAAACGCAUAACCUUUAUGAUGUCAAUUUCUAAUUGUAAACAUUGAGAAAAGAGAGGCAGCUAGCCUGAAAUAGUUAUUGCAUAUCAGUUUUCAUGACUUUAAGAACUUGUUUUUCCCAAAAAAAAAAAAAAAAAUUGUGUGUGAAUUUAACUUUGGUAGUUAGAUUCGCAACAUGCUUGCCACGUGAAGGAAGGGAAAGUUAGAUAAAAUGAUUUCGAAUCAGUAGCAUUUUAAAUGAUUAAAGUACUCUUUGGUUUUUUUCCUCGUUUAAAAUUACAAAUUUAAUUUUCAUAAUAAUAUAGUGUUCAAAAUAUAUAAUAGUUUAUUGUAGUAAGAAAGAAGUCUUACCAAAGAAGCAUAGGACAGAAAAUGGUCACCCCAAAUGCUGGGAGAAAAAGUGGCUGAAGGCUUAGGAUCAAAAGUGUCAUUUGGGCUUGAAGAUUGAGAUAGUGGAACUUCCAGAGAAGACAUAUUUCAAAAGAUUUCAAACUUGAAGCGAACUAGCCAAGUGUUAUUGCUUUUGUAUCAAGUGCUGGUGUGAGUUCAGGAGCUCAUUAGCUUUGCUAUUUAUAGUAUCGCUGACUAUCUACCCCGCACCCACUGGAGAAAAAAAAUAUCUACAGAAAUUUUACUGGUCGGUCAUCUUGGCUUUUUAAACAUUUUUUAUUACAUAAAUUCUUAUCUUUAUUUUUUUAACAAAUAGAAUAAUUUAUAUUAAAUUAAAUUAAAUUACAAAAAAAAAUAUAUAUAUAUAUUCGAACACAAAACCACAUGAACGAAUAUUUUUAACCAAUUGAACCACAAAUUAUUUACACAUAAAUUCUUAACUUAUGCUCUUCCCAAAUCUGAUCUUUAAUUUGUGGGUCCCCCACUCAACAAAUUAAUAAUAAUUUGUCUCCCUUCCCACUCAACAAAUUGGUUUUUUGUUUUUUAUUUUUUAUUUUUUCAGUGAGUAAACCAACGCGCACCGACUAAGGUCAGUUUGAUGAGCGGUUCCUAUAAUUCUUGGACAUCGGUUAACCGAACCGACUCGUGGUUACUUUUGUAUGUUUUAAUCAGAAUAGAUGGUGGUGUAUUUGUGGUCUCGUUUUAAGUGUCUAAUUAAUAGAAAUCAGGGCUAGGUUCGGUUGGCAAACCGUGCCAAAUUCCUUGUGUCACCUACCAGCCACAUAUACAUGAUUACUGAAAAUCAGUUACUGCUAGCCAACCAUCUUCUUACGGUUGCCAAAAAUUGAUUCAACCAAAAUUAUUGGCUGGUUCGGUUGGUAAAUGGCACAACCAGUGGUUUCCACUUCUUCCUCGCUAUCUUCCAGUUCCAAGGGCUUAAUUUGAUUUUCAGAUUGGGGUGCUUGUUCGGUUGCAUUGUGUGGUUCAUUUUAGGUUAAUCCAUGUUGUGCACUAGCGGUUGAUUGGCUAAACUCCAUCAUCCUAAACAUAAGCAAUGCAUAUACAUUCAAAAUCAUAUAUAUGUAUGUGUAUGUAUAGUAUUAGUAAUCAUCAUGCUAUCAAUUUUGUUAACAAUAUUUUCUAUAUUUAUUAUGGCAUGAAUCAUAUACAUAUACAUAUAUUUUUUAAACCCUAAAACUAAGGAGUCAUUUAUUUUCUAAACCCUAAAACUGAGGAGUCAAGUAUGUAAAAAAUACCUAAAAUAUCUAAAUAGGAAUAUAUAUAUAUAUGUAUGUAUGGCAUACUGCCGGGAUACAAAAUCAAUUACCAAAAUCAUGCCAUUAAUUUUCGGUUCGGUAAAAUGCCAAAACUAUAUCAUACCAUCAUGAGCCGCCCAGUAUGGUUCGGUCGAUAAAUUAGUUUAUGGCAAAAUUUCCCACCCCUAGAUAUCACUUUUAACCAAAAAAAUAUAUAUAUAUCAGAGUAGAGAUAAGAUUCCCCUUUCCUUUCACUCACUCGCACUCAACUCUCAGACCGUCGAAACCCUGUCGUUGAAAUUUUUUUACAAUGGUCCCAUUCGUUUCUACUUUUGGGUUUGAUUUCACCUGCGUUUUAUUCUUUCACCUGCUAUUAUGAUUUUUUUAGUGGUCCCAUUUGUUUCUUCUUUUGGGUUUGAUUUCAUAUGCAUUUCUAUUCUUUCAUCUGCUUUGGUGGUUUUUUUUUACAGUCGACCCAUUUCUUUGAUUUUUUUUUUCUUAGUUGUCUAGAUUCGUUGACAAUGAUUAAUGUAUUUGAUUAAUCAUUAAAAGUUGAUAAUGUUGUAUUUGAUUAAUCACUAAUAGUUGUUAGUGUUUGGGUAAUUAAUUAACAUUGGGCUGAAAAAUAUUAAAAGCCCAAGCAUGCAAGGGCUUUUUGAAUUUGGGUUAGUUGAAGCACAGGCCCAAGACAGAAUUAAAUAUUAUUUCUUGGCAGCCAAUAGACAGCAAGUCUACGAUGGAAGUGGUAAGGAACAAAUGACAGCUCACCUUCCGUUAAAAUUAAUUACUCUUAGAUGUCAUUUGUAAGGAACAAAUGACAGCUCACCUGCAAUCCACUUAUAGGCCCUAUGUCAUAAAUCUAUGUCCUUGAUUUUGUGCGUGAUUUAAAAGGGAUUGAAGGUAACCAGUCAGCUGACGUUGCCUCUCCUUACUCCAUUACAUCACUGACCUUGAACUGCGUGGCCAAAACAUUUUCUGACAAAAGUGGACGCGGAGAAAAUGGUAGAGUUAGUGAUGGAGAAUUCGCAGUUGGAGACCACGGAGGGCCCGCAGAUUUUGUCGUGUAUGAUGAUAGCAAAAUCACCUUAUUGGCCUGAUGUCAUGAAAGUUGAACGAAUAUACGUAAGAGUCGUGUUCUUCUAANUGUCAUAUGAACUUGUGCAUAUUUUUCAAUUUGUCGUAUAAACUAAAAUUUUAAGCAAUUUGUCAUACUAACUUUCUGAAAUUAUCAAUUUAUCAUCUCACCUAACUCCGUUAAGUUUUUCAUAAAAAAUAAGUCAUGUGCCUCGCUUUCUAAAAUCAUCAAUUUAUCAUCUCACCUAACCCCGGUAAGUGUUUCAUAAAAAAUAAGUCAUGUGCGAGGCAUAUGACUUGUAUUCAAUGUUAUUUCUAUCAUUUAAGAUCUUUUUAUUAAAACUCUUAAAUUUUGGGUUCGAGAGUAUUCAUGCGGAUCGUUGUGCUCGAGUAUAUGCAUCUACAUUUCCAUUUCUAGCACCAAACAUCAACUCGUUUCUUAUAUUACAGAGCCCAUAUAAAAAGAUUUUAUGAUAUGCUAAACUGAACACUGUAGAAUUGUUUUAAUUGAAUGCAACAUAAUAGAAGGAAGUGAGAUGUUAAAAUGGUAGAAAUAACUCUGAAGACAAGUCAUGUGCGAGGCAUAUAACUUAUUUUGGAUGGAAAACAGAGUUAAGGUGAGAUGACAAAUUGAUAAUUUCGGAAAGUUGACAUGAUAAAUUGCUUAAACUUUUAGUUUAUAUGACAAAUUAAAAAAUGGGUACAAGUUCAUAUGACAUUUUAAAAAAAUUUCCCUUAAAACUCAAAAUGGGUACAAGUCCUUCCGACUCGAGGUUGUCGGUUUGCUCUGGCGCUGGUGCCCGAUGAUGAAAGUAACCAAUCUCCAAAAAUUAACAAAAAAAAUUUCAGUCAAUAAGGAAAGAAAUUUAGAACAAUAAUCCAACCCAUCAUUUGCUUCAAUUUGAUUUUUGAAUUCGAACAACUAGAGGUCGGCACGGUCUAAUUCAGUUCGGUCCAUUUUUUAAUCCAAAAUCGAAGAACACCAGUUCAGUUAAGUUUAGUUCAAUUUUACUUAAAUCUAUUAAUGAAACCAAGCAGUGCGGUUUCGGUUUAGUUUGACCGGUUAUUCAUUGUAAACCGAAUUAUAUAUAAACUUUUUUAUUAGCACUCCAUAUUAAAAUUUAAUAUUAGAUGACUUAUAUACCCUACAACCAAGCCAAAUGUAGAAGAUGUAUAACACUGAUGCAUGUAAAGAGCAUUGUUAUGUAUCAUUGGUGCAACACAGUAUGUUACACAGCGUAUAAUUUGCCUUUUUGAUUAAUUGAAAACGGGACGAAAAACGGAAGUGCACAAGGAAGGAGGAGAAAAAAGGUUGGGUGGGGUGUGAGGAUAUUAAGGGAAAGUGUGUGGCUAUAUUAUGAUAAAUUUUAAUUGUAAAAGCAAUUGUGUGAUGUACUGUAUGCUUAACAAUAUGUAGGAUGUUAAUAUAACAAGCUUUAUAUAUACUAACCUUUUUGCACGUACUUAUGCACUUGCAAAAUGCCUUUUUACAUCACGACGCGUUACUCACGGCUUACGAAUUUCUCUUUUCCUUUUUACAUUUGGUCACUCAUAAAGACAUUCUUAUAAUUAUUUUUAAUUUGUAACCUACAUUAUGAAAGGUAUCAAAUUAAUAAACCAAGAAAUCAAGAAUGUCUUUAUGCGUGGAGUCAAGUAUUAACUGGAGAUACAGAAGCAAAUCAAAUUAAUUUAUAUAGGUCACAAAUGCUAUUCAUUAUGUAAAAUUAAAUUAUUGCUCCUAUCAUUUGUGUCCAUUCUUGAUUUGUUGAUAUCCACUUCAAAUUUCCGUCGUAUUCCUACACAAACCAAAAAAAAAAAAAAAGAACACAAUAAUUUUUUUGACAAAAGAAAAAAUAACAUGAGGAAACAAUAUAUGCAAUAACAGUGACUUGCAUAUUAAUAUCAGUGCAGAGAGAGCUAUAUAUUCUUCUGUACCGAGAGAAGAGUAAUUUAAAAGACAAAAAUUCUCUUGCCCACCCCUAAAAACUAAGGGUGCGUUUGUUGCGCCGGACUGUCUCGGACUGGACUAGCUGCCGGGACUAAGCUGGACUGGCUUAGACUGGACUAAGCUGGACUAACUUAGUGAAGCGUUUGGUGUAAUGUCGGACUAAGAAGCAGGAUAAGAAAAACAGUACUGUUCACCAGAUUUGUGUUUGCUUAGACUAGGACCACAAAUUUUUGCCAUUGUGUAAUAGAGUAAUGCUACAAAUCUCAUGAUAUGGGUUAAUUGGAGCAUAUUUUUGCCAUGUAUAUUAUGAAUCUUAAAAAAAAUUGACAAUUGUUUUGUUUUUAUUACCUGCUAAUAGAAUUGGGUUUAAUUUGCAAAUGUAGCUUGGUUUAAACUCUAUCACCCAACAGAAGAAAAAAUAAAUGCCCAAUACAUGCAACUUCAACAAAUACAAGUACAUAAGAAGAUCUCCAUAAUUUAGAAAAUCCUAGUUAACAUUAGUUAACAUUAGCCAAAAUAGAUCUCCAUAAUUUACAAAAUGGCUAGUUAACAUAAGCCAAAAUACUAGUGCAAAGCUAAGUUAUAAGCCAUAACAUAAGAUUGUAUGAUUAAUAAAAUACAUCCAUGUUAACAUUAGCCAAAAUCCUCAUCCGCUUGCGUUGUCGUUUAAAAGCCUUUGGACGAACACUUUCUUGAGUUCCGGUUUGAUUGCCCUGAACACUCCCACAUUUUUUGGUUUAUCCAAAAUAAGAGACAAUGCAUCAAUUUGAUCCAUAGGAGAGAGGCCCAUUGCUUCAAGUUCAUUAGCUAUGUCAGUAUGAUCUGCAGUACCUUGAACUAAAGCUUCAGUUACCAUUUGCAUCCUUUUCCCACUUUCAACAUAAAAAUCUUUCAGUCCACUGAUAAUUGCCUCGGUUUCAUCACUUGAACUUCCCACAGCUCUUUUCCUCUUUCUCUGGCUAUUUUCAGAUGGGGUGCUUUGUUGGCUUUGUUGGUUCAUUGAAGAAACAAAAUUUUCACCUCCAAUAUCAUUUUCACCAACAUGAUCAUGACUUUGUUCCUCCACCAUUUGAGCAGGGGUUUCGGCUACAUUACCCGUAGCCCGAUCUUUUCCAAAUAUAUAUGCAAAUCUAUCAAACAGUGGAAAAGGUUUGCUUCUCCAUCCAUUGGCUUCUUUAUUUCUCUAAGAUUAUAUCAACAUAGCAAAACUAAAAUUUAGCAUGCGUAACAAAUAUAGCAGCAAUAAUAUAACUAAUGUAUAAAUAAAAUAGGAUAUGAACCUGCACAUAAGUUUGCCAUGAGUCAUCACUGUCAACUUCAACGCACUUUUUGACAUCAUUCCAUGCAAAUCCACUUGUGUUUAUCAUGUCAACGACCAUACUAUAUGUUUUUUCCAUUUCUUCAACUUGGACUCAAUAUGUGGAUUUACCUUUAUAUUUGAAUGAGGACAUAAAACAUUGACAGCUUUUGCUAUUUCAACCAAAGUACCUUGUUUGAAAGCACCGGUGUCACACCGUUGCUUCCGAGCAACAAAAUCCUCAAGAACUCCUAGUAAUGCUUCUUCCUCAAAUGCUUCCCAUUUACGCCUUCUUCCUUUUGGCUCUUGAGUAGCAUUCAAAAUAUUUUCGUUAUCCAUACCUAAACAAAAAAAUAUUUGAAUGAAGGAAAAUACCAUACAAAUAAUCAAUUUGCAUAAUAUCCAAUCAACUUGCAUAAUAUCCAAUCAACUUGCAUAAUAUCCAAUUAAUUUGCAUACCAUCCAAUCAUUGUGCUAAUAUCUAACAAAUGCAUGAUAAAAAGGAAUACUAAAAUAAAAUGUUAUCAUUAACACAUAUAGCUAGUUCGAUUGCUGGUUCCUAAUUGCUCUCCACUCGUUAUACAUUUCCUGAGCCAUGUCAUUCCUCUUUGCAGUCCACUGGUCAGAUGUUUGAACACUACCAACAUAUUCACCUUCUUCUGUAUUUUGUCCAUCUUCUAUUAUUGGCAAAUUCUCCAUUGGAUCUACAGACAUCUCUUGCCUAAUAAGAUUGUGUAGUAGGCAACAAGCGGUAAUUAUUCGACCUUGUGUCCUUAUCAGAUAGAAAGAUGGACUCCUUAGUAUCGACCACCUUCCUUUUAGCAAGCCAAAACAGUGUUCAAUUACAUUCCUUGCCUUAGAAUGCUUCAUGUUAAAAUAUUCUUCCUUAUUAGAAGGUGUUCGUCCCUCCCAUUCAGAUAAAUGAUAAGGUAUUCCUCUAUAGGGUGCAAGGAAUCCUUCACCAUUUGUAUAACCACCAUCUACAAGGUAAUAAUAACCUAAUGAAAAAAAAAAAAAAACAGACCUUAUUAGUGUUUUGUAGUUGACAAACAGAACUAGACCUAACUUAGAAAGUUGAGACUAAGUAAUAGUCUUACCCGCUGGUACCUUAAAACCAUUAGGCCUAGUAAUUGCAUCAUGUAGCACUCUAGAGUCUGAUGCGGAACCCUCCCACCCCGGAAACACAUAUAUGAACUGCAUAUCUCCUGAACACACACCUAACACAUUAGUUGCGACUCGACCCUUUCUUGUUCGGUAUCUUGGUUUGUCAAUUUCAGGUACAUGCACAUCAAUGUGUGUUCCAUCCAAUGCUCCCAAGCAAUUCUUAAAAAAAAAAAAAAAAAAGUUUUUGUUAAUUUAUACAAAGGGAAUGAAGAGUUAAAGCUUAGGGAAAAUGAAAAAAAAUUCUCAUCAUACCUUAAAACAUCGCCACCUAGGAUCUGUAGAAUCAAUAGGCACAGGCUGAGGGACUUUUAGUAGGAUACCUUGUAAUCGUAAAAUUCCUUGCAAUACGCUAUUGAAAUACCUACUUAUAGUCUCUCCCGACCUAUAAAAUCUACCGCCAAUACUACGAUUCUUAGUAUGAUGUGCUAGUAUUUGUAAAGUCAUACACACCUGCUCCUCUACAGACACCAAACCAUCAGUUUUUACCCUCCCAUCUUGACGAAGUAAGUCACAUAAUAAGGCAAAAGUCCUUCUAUCCAUUCUCAAUUCGUUGACACAUUCAAUAUCAGUAUUCCCUAUUAUACCAUUCAGAUAACACAAACUAAUCUCUCGUCUAACAAGUGAACGAUUAGUCAAAGUGGGUCGUUCAACAUGUCUCUGUUUGGCCCUUAGCAUCAUCACCACAAGAAUCGUACAAAUGCAAAUUGUCUCUAAAUGAGACAUCUCUAACAAUAAGAUCAAUAAAAGCUUCCUUCGAUCCAUAUCUAUCCAAACAAAAAAAAAAGGAAAAUUAAAUAAGGACAUUAUAUAUGUAAUAUUUACUGUUAUUAAGGGUGAUGAAAAUGAAGUGAUUAUGAUUCGAAAUGAACUAGAUCAAAAUAAACGCUAUACAAAGAAUUCUGAAACAAGUAACUGCAUUAACAGCCCAAAAAAUAAACAGCCAAGUCACAAUUAAUGUUGGAUCAACAAAAAGAAAAAAACCAGUCAAGUCACAAUUGCUAGGCAUUGCAUGUUAAAAUGGAAAUUAAAUGACACCUGUGAAGCGGUAGUCUCAGCCUUAUCCUUCCGUUUAUGCUCCUCUUCUCUGCAACUAACAACCACAGAAUAUUGCAGUUCAGCAUACAAAACAUUCACAUUGUAAUAUCAUGGUUAUAAACUAAAUAGACACACACACUUAUUAUAGAGCACACACACACACACUUCCAGUGCAGUACACAAACACAUACACAUAGUACACACACACACACACAUACACAGAAAUUAGAUACACACACACACAGGCAGUACACAAACACACACACACACAGAAAUUAAACACACACACACAGUACACACACACACAUACACAGAAAUUAGACACACACACACAGUACACAAACACACACACACAGAAAUUACACACACACACAUACACAGAAAUUAGACACACACACACAGACACAGACACAAACACACUCACACUCACACUCACACACAAACACAGUCACACACACACACACACGGAGACAGAGUGCAACACACUCAUACACUCACACACACACUCCGUUUUUACACUCACACACACACACUCACACUCACACUCACACACAAACACAGUCACACACACACACACACACACGGGGACAGUGCAACACACUCUUAUCCUCACACACACACUCCGUUUUUAUACUCACACACACACACACAUAUUACAUACACACACACACACAUAUUACACUUACACACACACACACACACACGGCACAAUACACAACACACACUACACAAACACACACACACACAUAUUACAUACACACACUACACAAACACACACACACACAUAUUACAUACACACACACACACACACACACACACAUAUUACACUUACACACACACACACACGGCCACAAUACACAAUACACACACACACUACACAAACACACACACACACACAAUACACACACACACUACACUAACACACACACACACACACAAUACACACACACACACACACACACACAAUACACACACACACACACACACACGGCCACACACACAAUACACACACACACUACACAAACACACACACACACAUAUUACAUACACACACACACAUAUUACAUACACACACACACACAUAUUACACUUACACACACACACACACGACCACAAUACACAAUGCACACACACACUACACAAACACACACACACACACACAAUACACACACAAUACACACACACACUACACACACAAUACACACACACACACACACACACACACACACACACAAUACACACACACACUACACAAACACACACACACACACAUAUUACAUACACACACUACACAAACACACACACACACACAUAUUACAUACACACACUACACAAACACACACACACACAUAUUACAUACACACACUACACAAACACACACACACACAUAUUACAUACACACACACACACAUAUUACACUUACACACACACACACAUUGCCACAAUACACAAUACACACACACACUACACAAACACACACACACACAUAAUACACACACUACACUAACACACACACAAACACACAAUACACACACACACUACACAAACACACACACACACACAAUACACACACACACACACACACACACACACACAACACACACAAACACACACACACACACACAAUACACACACACACACACAAACACACACACACACACAAUACACACACACACACACACACACACACGGACACAAUACACAAACACACACACACCCACACACACAAUACACACACACACACUACACAAACACACACACACACACACAUAUUACAUACACACACACACACAUAUUACACUUACACACACACACACACAGCCACAAUACACAACACACACACACACACACACACUACACAAACACACACACACACACACAAUACACACACACACUACACAAACACACACACACACACACAGAGUAUACACACACAGAUUACAUACACACACAUAUUACACUUACACACACAGAUUACACACACACACACACACAGAGUAUACACAAACAGAGAUUACACGAGUAUACACACACACACAGACAAACCAGAGUACACACAGACAUAGUAUACACACACACGCACACACACACAGACACACACAGAGAUUACACACACAGAUUCUAAUCUCAAUUUGACCUAAAAAUUGAUUUUGAAGUUUACCAGAAAAGUUGAAAUACGAAAACCCCAAAUUCUAAUCUCAAUUUGAACUAAAAAUAUGAAAACCCCAAAUUCUAAUCUCAAUUCGACGAAAUCAAUCGAAGAUUUGAAGCUUACCAGACUGUCUCCGACCAGAUGAGGGCGAGAAGACGCAGAGAUGAGGGUGAGGAGGAGGACGACGAGGAAGCAGGGCAAGGUCGACGACGAGCGACGAGCAGGACGAGGGACGUUGGGGAUCCUCGCAGAGAUGAGGACGAGCAGGACGUUGGGGAUCCUCGCGGUUUUCUCUCCGGGCUUACGAGUCCGCCCAAAAUUGGGGUUCUUCGUUAAGAACUCGUAAGGAGGCGUGUAAUCCGAGCGAGUCCCACCUAAGCCCAUUAAAGCUAAUCCGGUUGCACAUCAAACACAGGACUAUAGUCUAGUCCAGUCCAAGCCUUGCUAAUCCUGUCAAACAAACGUGCCCUAAAGGUGUCAAACGGUCCAGGUGUCAUAUGGGCCUAAGCCGUUCUUGGACCAUGCCACUAAACAAGCGGCUAAACAAACUUUAGUUAUUUUAUAUUAUCAGAAAAAAUUAUUUGAAUCUAGUUUAAAACCUAAUAUCACAAUUAUUUAGUCUUAUUAGUUCCAAAAUGUAUGUUUUACUUGAAAAAUAAUGAAUAAAUAUAUUAAUAUUUAGUUAUGUAUUAGUUUAAAUGGGAUAGUCAUCAUAAUAGCCCCACGUCAUGGGCCGUGCUUGGCCAUGAUGAAUCACGGCCGGGCCAACCUAUUGGACCUAAACCUUAGGACCGACCUAGCCACUCAUUGCUAAUCAUGCCAUGUAGUGCCUUAUCUAAAUGAGCUUGUGUCGUGCCUAUUUUAAUAAGGCACGGCCAUUGACAUAGUUCAUUGUUGCGGUUUCCCUUUCUGUUCUUAUUAUCUCACAAACAUACUAUUUCAUUCACCGUCCGUAAUUUUCCAUUUUACAAUGGGAAAGGGGGGUUGCAGUUGUGUGUGGAGGAUUUCUAUCGGGGUCCUAUGUGUUUAAUUAGUCAUUUAUGAUUUAUGAAUGUUAAAGUUUCCUCCUGUAUAAUGAAUUUGUAUUAUCUUCCUGGUUUCUCAACUUAUAUGUGAUUGUAUGGGAGACAAAAAUGGAUCUUGUAAAGAAGUCGUUGAUGUCCUCAAAAAAUGGAUGCUUUGGUGGUAAUUACUUAUGUUCUAACUUCUAAUCAUAUUGGUCCUUUAACCAGCAACUGCCAAUAGUUAUGCUAAAAUAUGAUUUCGAAGCCAUUUAGCACUAUGGUCUAGUGAUAUUUUUAUUCAUUUAUAAGUGAGGGGUCUAAGGUUUGAUUCUCGCCAAAUGAGAAUUUGAACCAUAUUAUUGCCAGCACAUUGUAAGGUUAAGCUCACCCCUCCCUUUCAGUGUAGAUAAUAUUGUUUGUUAAAAAAAAAAAUAUGACUUUGAAAUGGAAAUAGGGUGGUGUUAAGCACACACCUCUUUUUAUCUUUUACACACACUCUCAAUUUUCGACCGUUGGAUCAAAUGAAUUGAUGAGGAUUAAGGGAUAAAAAUUCAUGGAAGGUAACAGCCACUAGAUUAUGUCUACAACUACAUAUAUGACGCAAUUAUCGUUUUACAUUUGAAACUAGAGAAAUAGAACACCUUGAUCCAAAGGACCGGAAUUACAAAUGUUUUGACAAGUAGAUAACAGCUUUCCUGCCCUUGGAACUUAUUCAGCCUAAAACACCAAUUCAAUUUUAGUUCGAAUAAAAAAUGUUGGGAAAAUUACAAGAAAAUUGACUUGCUCUUUGCUUUGUUAUUAUGUACUGUUAUUCUGUACAAAAUGAUCCUACCUAAUUCACCAAUUCGGGGUAUAAUAAAAUUAUAUUCUUCUAAAAAGCAUGUAGACAAUUAGGCUAAAACGCAAGUAUAUCGCUCUCCUUAAGGAGAUUAAAGUUCACUGCGGUUUAACAAAGUCCACGGACAGAUGCAGCAGUAUAUCCCAUGACUUGUUCCCUCCAGAAUACAAUAGCCCAACAAAAUUGUUUUAUGACUCAAACCUAUCUGCACAAAAGGAAGAGUCCAAAGCUCAACUACACGAACACUCAUCUUUGGUCAGUAUGUAAAAACGGAAAAGAUGGAGGAAUAGAGAGAAUAAUCGUUGUAGAAGAAAUUAGGUAGGGGGAUAAAAUAAAAGAAAACAAAGGAUGAUGGAGAAAAUGCUACUAAUUAUAGAUUUAUUAUCACCCUUAGUGGAUAAGGUAAUAUACACAAAUUAAAAAGACAAAAGUUAUAAAAGUUACAUAAGAUGAACUGCUCAAAGACUCCAUCUUAGUUUUCCCACUAACAACAAAUAAUGACAACUGUCUUAACUUCUCACUUACAACAAACUAGCCCUUCUACACACGCCUUGCGUGUGCAAAAAAGUCUUUUUUUAUAUCAUGGUGUGUUACACGUGGCAUACAGAGUUUUUAUCCCCUUCACAUUUGUGCAUGCAUAAAAACAUCUUUGCUUCAGAAACACUUUAUACAUGUUCUACAUGCAUUGAUUUUAUAUGUCCAUAAUUUUCCAUAUUAAGGGAGUGAUAAAACUACUUUUGAUUGGGGCCUAUCAACCCUCCUUCAACUUUUCCAGAGGUUGUUGCCAAUUAAGAAAUUUGUGUACUUUACGGCAGCAGAGUUGAUAGGGGCCUCUUUAGUAGCCUAUAAACUCCAUUCCUGCAUGGCUUUUAUAUUCUAGACAAAACAAAAUGUAACUUAAGAGAAUGUAAAACAGUAAUUUUCUACGAACAUUUGUCCGAAGUAUCUAAGACAGUUGGAACUUUUGGCUGCCACAUCCGUUCGGUAUCAAAAUGAAUAGUUGAUUUUGUAAAACUACGCAAUCCCUCACGCAGAGUAAGGGAACAUUGUAAAUUAUCAAAAGAAUAUACUGAGUUUUUAUAUGUGAAAUAAGUGAAGAGACAGAGGAAUCAUGCAUACUCCAAUGACAAUAAAAUUCACUGAAUCUAAAUAACUAAUGUUGCCAAUGUACCAUACAAAAUUAGCAAGCAAAUCAAGAAACUACCGAUGAGAAUAUAAUGAUUCCACUUUUAUCUUCCAACAUUCUGAAAACCUAUCAAACAGAAGAUAAAUUUUCAAAAUUGUUAGGAAUACAAACUCCCAAACAUGUACAUGCUGAUUGAACCAACUCACUCAAACAUUCAACUCUGAUCGAAUUUGGAUCCUGAUUUCUUCCUUUUGCCGCAACAAUUUUCUCACCACAUUUUAUAUUCUUUCUAAUUCCUUGGGCCAAAGAAUUCUUCCUGCAACACAUUUGUUUCUGGUUUCAAAAAGACGAAUUAACAUAAUCAAACCACAUCUCUUGGUGUUCAUGCUUCAAAGGUGCCUGUGCAAUAGAAUAGCAUUAGAAAUAAGUGAAGAGACAGAGGUAGAUAACCUAUAGUCGGACAAACAAACGUAAAGAAAUCCAAAAACGAUCAUCCCAAACCUGCACUAACCGAAAUAGAAUCGAAAUUAAAACUAUGAUUCUGAUUCGAUAGAGAACUGAGGAAUAGCCAAGCUAGGAAUACCAUAAGUGCUCGACAGAUAGUCGAAUUGAUGAAAACACAAACGAACAACAUCAGUAACGAAUCAUGGUGUUCUUUCAACUACCCGAUCAAAAGGACAGAAGAACAUUCCUGUGUGAGAAGUGCCUGAAGGGAUAAGCAAGUAAUAUAAGUAAAGGAGAAUUGUUAAGUAAACCAAACUUGAACAAAACUAAAGGAUGGUUAAGUAAACCAAACUUAAGCAAAACUAAAUCUCACAUAAGAACCUUUGGGUAUCAGUGGAGAAGAGAUUGCUUUUGAAUUUCACAAUGGAGCAAUUGAUUUUAUUUCUCCGCUUCCGCGAAACAGUUUUCUCACGUGUUCGCAUUUUCCCUCCUUCGUUUACACUUCUACACAGCGAGGUUUAUCAUGUUUGUAGAAUAAUGCUUCUACAAAAGAGAGUCUCUAUCUAUAUGUGUAAUUAAGCAGAAAUUAGAGUUGCAAUACCAGGAUGUGCUCCAUGUAGAUUGCAGAAUGUAACCAUGAACAUCGUGAAAAAGUAGGCGAAGCACAAAUGGGAAGAGGCCAUGAUGUUUUUUUUUUUAGUCAAAAAAAGGGAGAACCUUCAAAACAAAGUUGAAUUCUCAAGAAAACUGAACAAAGUAGAAUAAAAACAAUCUAUCAGUCUUAAAUCGUGAUUGACUCAAAAACAGAAGAGGAACAAUGAGCUUCACAAUGCACAAUUUGUGUUUUUGCUGGAGUCUAGUAACUGUUGGCAGCAUCGUAGAAUGAAAUUGAAAACAAAAAUUUGUUCAAACCAUUCGAAGUAGCAGGAACAAUGAAGCUUCUUCCCUCCUUCUCUAAUGUUGGAUUUGUGAAUUAUUGAAUGUGGAUUUGUGAGUUCUUGGGAGUUUAUUCAUCUUCUCAGUUAGUUUGUGGCAGUUUACUCCCAGUUGAGUUGAUAUCUGAUGACAAUCAAGCUGAAACCGAGAUCAAAUAUGGGGAUUUAAUCUAAGCGCUUCUAUUUGGACCCGAUUUUACAUCAUCGGCCCAAGCAAUCGAGGCCGUUGAGUGGGCAUGAUUCUCGACCGCUAGAUGAGAAAGUAGAGAUAAUUUGAUUAUUAAAGGAUAAUAUUAUAAUUAUCUUUUAAUAUGAAUUAUCUCGGUAUCUUCUUAAACCAGAUAAAUAGAAUGCGAUUCAUAUCCCGAAUAAGCAGUACAAUUCGAAUUGAUUUGGGAUGUCUGUCAGCACUGGGAAGUAAGAUGAAUUUAAAAUUCGUUUGAUCAGAAUGAUGAUGGCUAUUGUGGAUGAGGUGAGGAUGAGGUAGGAGACCUAAGGGGUGUUGUCGGAUGAAGUAAAUUGAUGAUGGACAUGGCAUGUAUGCUGUGUCAAAAGCUAUCAGCCAUAUAUAUAUAUAUAUAUAUAUAUAUAUAUAUAUAUAUAUAUAAUUGACGACAUGAGGUCUGCCAAUUCAUGGGAAAGGUGCAACCUUUUAUAUAUAUAUAUAUAUAUAUAUAUAUAUUGGGUGGUUGAUUAGAUGGACGUUACCCAAGCUUGCAGAUUAUCUUGGAUUCGAUAAGAUGAGUUUUAAUUGUUUGGGAGUCUUUUUCAGCUUAUCAACCAGUGCGUAUUCGUCACUAUAAAUACAGAGUCGCCGGCAACGUUCAAAGGACCUCCAAUUCAACACACAACUGCCCUGCGCAAACUCUCUCAACAACUGAGAUUUUUAUUUUCUCUUUUCACUGACACAUCUUCCGUUGGCAUCAACAGCACUGUGAAAGCAACCGGUGAUAUCUUAAGUCGGCAUAGAUAGCUCUGUCACCGUAGAGUCAGCCGAUCUCGCAGCAUCUUCCGUUGGCAAGGACGGUUGGUUACCUAUCCAAGUCUCAGUCGAGAAGGAUUGCCAAAUCCUUAUUGGUCGAGGUCAUCUCAUCAGCCUUCUCGGCGAAGUGAGGUGUUACAAGUUACUACAUUCGGCAUAUUGAAAGCCGAAUUUGAUAUUGAACUUCGCUAAGUUAGCAGCCUUGUUUUUAGGCUCUAGAACCCAAGAGGCCGAGACGUGUUCCUUCCUCGGUCGCAAUCGCGAGACGCAGAAGUCAGCAGCGCACCCAACGCAACAUCAACAAAUUUACUCCUCGGCCGAGCGUGGCCGACGAGUUGGCACGCCCCGCAUUCACCGAAGGACGUAGUUAGCUUAUAGAUUACUCGGCCUGCGCGCCACGUAGGCUUGGUAGUUUCUAGGUUCAACAACUUCAAACCUUUUAAGGGCAGGGAUUGAGUUUGAAAAAGGGGAAGACAAUUUAUUGAACAUAACUUUGAGUAAUGACAAACUCAGAAUUCCACCAGUGUAUAUUCACUUGACUUCGGAUUCACUCUUCAGGAACCUCGUGGCUUAUGAGCAAUGCAGUCUUAGAGGUACGCAUCACAUUACCUCAUAUUUGAUACUCAUGAAGAGUCUCAUCACUUCCACAAGGGAUAUAAGACUUCUUCGGAGAAGAGGAAUCAUAAAUCUACUAAAUCGCAAUCGCGUUGGGGACCAAGAAUAUUUCGCUGAAUUCAAAACUAAACUGAAUACAGUUGUUGUGAAGGACUUCUGCUUCGGAAAGUUGUGUGACGAAGUGAAUGCAUACAGUAAGUCCUGGUUGCCCUUGAGCAAACAUAACAUUCGUUGACAUGCAAAUUUCCUUUGUCGCACUUAUUUUUCUAGUCCAUGGAGUAUCAUAUCAUUCGUUGCUGCUGCAGCUCUCUUUGUUCUUACUGUCAUCCGGACAUACUAUAGCAUUCACCCGCGCUAAUGUGUAAUUGUUCCGAGUGCAGUCGAUCUUAUGCCUCCGCUGAGUUCCUUAAUCGUUUAUGUAAUGUAAAUUUCAUUGUGUGCUAAGCUGAGAUGGUUUAAUUGGUUUAAUUGGUUGUUUCGUUUUUCUUCAAAUUGCAUGAAAAUGAGCUUAGAUUCUAUAAAUUUUGAACGUUAAUUCUUUAAAGGAAAAUUACCUUUCUGGAUUUCUCCUUGAAAGCAUAACCAACCAUAGCGUGGGACGCUUUAUUACAAGUUCUUGGAAUGAACUUAAAAAUAAUAUCUCUAAAUUGGGAAGCCAGCAUAUGAAUGUCGUGGAUUAUACAUUCCACCGACACCUCUGAAAUCUCCCCGCUGUUAAUCAUGUCCACCACAGUUUUUGUAUAUGUCUCCACUUCAAUCCGCAAGAAGCCCUUUUCUACACAUUCUGUCAAUCCUGCCUUAUCGCUUCAACUCCAGCCGUCAAACUCGAGCAGCACCAAAAACCACCUGCACCCCUGCUAGCAAUUCACUUAAAGAAGGAAGGACCAAUUCAGUUUUGAUGGAUUUGGGAAAUAUUCGUAGCAGAAGCAACAUAAACAUAUCAAAUGUGCAGCGAUGUUUAGAUAUGUGUAAGGGGGAGAUUUACGUGUAUAUAACUCAAAACUACAUAAACAGAACGACUUUGGAGAUAUGAAACUCGAAGGCUCGGAGAGCUCCUACACGAAACUUACUUGAGAGCUCCUACACAAAACUACAUAAACAGAACGAUUUUGGAGAUGUGAAAGUCUGAAGGGCUCGAACCUUCGUGAAAUUAAACAAAACCUUGAGUGAUUCUUUAAUUAACCCAACUGCUUUUCAGUAAAAACCCAAUUGCUCCUUAGCAAAACUCUCUUAGCUCUUCAACUACAAUUUCAAAGCCUUCCUUCCAAACAAACAUUGUGUACGAUUCCUGAGGUCUAAAACAUUAACAGCUCUGUCACCCUCUUGUAUGAUUCGGCUGAUGUGCAAUUCCAAACACCCUGAUUUCCUCUCUGAGGCUCAUGUUUUGUACUAAGUCAAAUCUGACCAGUAAUCUAGGUGGAUUUCUUUAGCAUUAUCUUGCCCUUCAUGGCCUAAAUCUUGCUAGAGUUUUACUACUUUCUUUACAUUGCCUAUCAAUUUACAUUUCAAAUUAUGUAGUUCUGCCAAUCGGCCUAGAUUUUAGUUUUGUGAAUGUUCGUAAUCUUGACUCCAUCAUGAAAUGAUUACAUUCUGUUUCCCGUUUUAGUUUCUAUUUCGCUUUCAUUUACUUUUUUGGUAAGCAUACACGAAGUUACAAUGAAUAUUAAGUCCUCAUUCACUUGAGGCACAUAAACGAACUUUAUCCAAAUCAACGUCCCACUCAGUGCAUAAUUAUUUGGUUCAGAAAUCAGAUUAACGCGUAACUUGCACACAUGCACAAACGCAAACAUUGUCUAUGUUGACAGUCUCCAACAGUGGCACACCUAUUCUCUCUUCUCUCGAGCCAUCUUGUGGCACUGAGACUGAAAACAAUACUCAUGGCAAAUACGUGUUGAACUGCGUAACCAAGCUCCGUUCAAGUUUUGGCACCAACAACUAUAUAAAUGCAUGUUCAAGUGUGCUAUUUGAGCUGAAUAAUUAAUAUAUGAUUACAGGAAAAAAGGAGAGCUGUGAGCCUGAAAAUAAAUUUUUAUUAUUUUUAUUACCGUUGAAAAUCGGACGGUCCAAUUUAAAGAGCCGUUGAGAUCGAACGGACCGUGGGAAGCCACGUGGCUUCCCAACGGUAACCUCGGCAGACUGCGACGCGAGCCCGUUCUCUGAAAAGCUGUCGGUUGAUGAGCCCCCAUGUGCGGGUGAGUCGCACGCGCCCGACAAAAAAAAAAACAUAAAAUUAGGCUGACGCCAGGAUGACGUCAGCCCUGGCGUCACAUCCACUCAGGCUUUCGAGCUGGCAAUUCCUCACAGGCCCCGGAGCUCGGGCCUUCACUCUCCCUCGGGCUGCCCACGCUGAAGCUUCAAGGCCGGGCUAUCUGGCCCUAUUUCGUCCCCCGAGCACCAGCCCAAGCUAGAGUUGCUCUGAUUGGUCCUCACUUCUCCCUCAUUUAUUUUCCAUCUCCACCGACCAUCUCUCAUUUCCUUUAAUCUGGGCUACACAUGUGGCUUCCUCACUACUCCAGAUUUUGCUGGAACCUUAUAGAAACAAAGAUUAAAUUUACUAAAAUGCCCUCGACUUUAAACGUUGAUAACUCUUUCAUUAUAGCUCCAAAUUACGUUACGUUUGCGCCCACGCGUUCGUAGCGACGAGUACUACGAGGAUACACCAAGAAAAUAGAUCUCACGUGACAUGACAAGGUGGUCAAACAAAGUCAACGCAUUUGCCUCGAAGGGCAUUUUCGUAAAUUCACAUUUUAAAAUUAUAAAAACUAUAAUUUUUGGAGACAGGUCGUUACAUGAUUGACACAACUGAAGCAUAAUUUGUGUUUAUCGUUUGGUUGGCUAUUUUGACUAAUCGAUCCUAUGAGACUUUAUAAAGAUGCUUCCGCAAUUUUGUAUCACUUGAGUCUGCAAUUUUGUUUUAGGGAUUUAGGUCCAAAUAAAUUGAAAUUGGGCAUGGAAAAUAAAAAAAAAGGGGAAAUAAUUUAAUUACACGUUGAAUUGGAGUUUAUAGUUAGUCAUCGGCUAAUUGUCCUUUUUUCUUCUUUUCGGUAAAUUCUGGAGUUUUCUUGAGUAUAUAGGGUUGUCUUCUUUUCCAAAACACCCUCACGCAUGGUGUUGACACCUGCUCCCUAUUACAAAAGCUUUUGGUUCCAAUUGAUUAUCUAUCUAAUGCCAAAAUAAAAAAUUAAAAAAACUAGGAAAAAGGGUUGUGAAUCUGGGUGACGAGUGUUUUAUUCAAACCUUGUGCUUGUGUUUUUCUUUUCAAUUUAUUUUCUCAAAAAAAUAAAAUAAUAAUAAUAAAUUUGUUUAAACUGAGAAUCCGCUUAUUAUUAUGGAAAAACUCAUCCUUUAGAAAUUUUGUAUUUUGGUAGGUUUGCUUGUAUUUUUUGGAUUUUUACUUGAAUCAUUAAGUUCUUUGGAAUUUCAUUUUAGUUGUUCCUCUAUUAUAAUCUUUUGAUAUUAUUUUGAUUUGAUGGAUCAAAUUAAUCUUACGGAUUUGGUCUUUUGGCUUGUGUCAUUUUGUUGGAUUAUAUUGUUAAUUCUUGUAUAAGAUUCAGGAUGCUAAUUACUUUUUCCAUCUUAUGAAACAAGAAGAAGGUAACAAUUGAUUGUGGCUUUCUUCUUUAUAUCGAUGUUGUGAAUUCAUUUAUUUACUAUUGGUUGCUUAUGCUAUUCUAAUUUUGCCUUCCGUUAAUGCUUUGAUGAAUGUGCUAAGGCACAUGUCUGGUUUUAGAGGUUUUGCUAAUAAAAAUCUUCUCUUUGUUUAAGUGGGUUUUGAUCACUGCAAUUUUACAAUUUUAAUACUGAUGUUUUUGUUGAGCAUAUGCAAAUCAAAAAGUCAGUCUUGGUUCUUGAUUAUUUUGAAAUCGAUUUUUUUUUUUUUUUUUGGUAAAACCUUUCCGAAGAAAUGAUAAGAUUUUAUUCCAUGCAAUAUAUUACAAGCAAAGGCUGACAAACAAAAUAAGACCCUAAACACAAUUGGACCUCCCAACUAACUAAACAAAGCUCAACCAAGAGCCCAACACUAUUAACAUAACAAAAGAGACUUUUCGACCCCAGCAUCCGCCGCCAUAAUAGUUUCACGAUCAACCCAAAACAAUCCUCCAACAAUCGCCAAAUCCAAACAAGCAGAUCCGCAUAAACCAUCCACGAAAACCACCCUAAUCGCCUCGAUUUCAGCCAAAAAUUGGAAGAAGCCCGUGCGAAUACCACGAACAACACUGCCACCGAAAGCAGACAGAGAAAAGGAUGUGGUGUUUUAAGCACCUGAGCCGAUGAACCCAUCGAAGCUCUCUCAAAUGGUCGCACCAAAUUGCAAUGAAAACUGACUGCAAAUCGAAUUGAAAGGAGAGAAAUUUUGGGUAGAUCGGGAAAGAAAACUGGGGGAAAAGUUAGCAAAAGAUCUGAAAAGAAGAAACAGAUAACAAAAGGAAAAUCAUUCAUAUCGUCACUAACCUGCGCCUGAUAGACUUUCUAUUUUUUGAUAGACUUCCCUAAUUUAAAAUUUUAUGAAAUUCGGUCUUGUGGUAAUAUUAAAUGGAUUAUAGAUGUUGGUAAUUUUUCACGUUUUUUGGACAAGAAAUAAAUUUAUGGUAAACUUUUAAGUGUGAUACCAUGUUGCUGGAAUUCUACGGACUUCCAGAACAGUCUGUUUGUGAUACUAUUUUGAUAUAUCUAUGUAACUCAAAAAUUCAUGAAAUUUUAGUAUGGUAUACAUUGAGAUGUUUAUUUCAAAUCUGGAAAUUUUCACGAGCAUUGGUUUGAAAAUGAAUUAUUGGUGAAGUUUUUAAUCUCUGGACUAUAUUGCAAAAUUUAUGCGGUUUCUGCACAUUUAUAUCUAAUUCAUUUCUAGAAAUUUUCAUGCACAUUGGGGUAAAAAUAAAUUUUUAGUGAAUUCACAUCGUAUUUAGAAUUUAAUUUUGGUACACUUAUAAAAUCUCAAAAAAAAAUAUGAAUUUUUGGGAAACGUCAGUUUUGUAUGUCUAGUUUAUGUAUGAAAAUGUUUAUGCACAUUGAGUGAAAAGUGAAUUUUUAAUCUCAGGUCUAUACUAUACAUUUUCUACAAUUUAUGCAGCACAUCUCUUUUCAAAUUCGUUUUUGACUCGCUUAUAAUUUAAAAAUCAUGAAAUUGUGUGAAAUGGUAUCCAUAUAUGUCUAGUUCAUACUUGAAAUUUUUCAUGACAACCUAACAAGAAUCGAGAUUUUAGUGAAUUUGCAAAAUAAGCUAGUACUGCUGAAUUUUGGGACUUCAAACAACUAGUUGUGUUUUGAAAUAUUGUUUUCACUGAUUUUUGCACAUUUAUUGGUACCGAUUAUUAGGCAAGUUUAUUGUUCCAAUGUGUCCUUAUUUUAUGCAAAUUCUCAAUACUAAUGACUUUUAUUUGGCAACACUGAUUAAAUUUUGAUUUAAGGACGUAUUGGUUUAUUUUCCUCAAACCAAUAUUUGGUUUGGUCAUAAAUUCUAAAACUCGAAGGCUUGAAGAGCUCCUACACAAAACUACAUAAACAGAAUGAUUUUGGAGAUGUGAAAGUCUGAAGGGCUCGGACCUUCGAGAAAUUAAACAAAACCUUGAGUGAUUCUUCAAUUAACCCAACUACUUUUUAGUAAAAACCCAAUUUCGCUUUAGCAAAACACUCUUAGCUCUUCAAUUACAAUUUCAAAGCCUUCCUUCAAAAUAAAAACUGCCUAGGAUCCCUGAUAUCUAAAAAUUUUACAUCUCUGCCACCAUGUGGUAUGAUUUGCUUCAUGUGCAAUUCCAAACACCAUGAUUUCCUAAUUGAGGUGCAUGUUUUGUACUAAGUUCAAUCCGACACCAGACACCACUAAUCUCGGUGAAGUUCUUUAGCAAUAUCUUGCCUUUCAUAGCCAAUCUUGCUAGAGUUUUACUGCUUUCUUUACAUUUCCAGUCAAUUUACAUGUCAAAUUAUGUAGUUCAGCCAUCGCCCUAGAUUUCACUUUUGAAAAAGUUUGUAAUCUUGACUCCAUCAUGAAAUGAUUACAUUUUAUUUCCCAUUUCAUUUUCUAUUUUGUUUUCAUGUAUUUUUUUAGGCAAGCAUAUGCAAAGUUACACUAAAUGUUAAGUCCUCAUUCACUAAGGGCACAAAAAAGAACUUAAUUGCAACAGUGUCCCAUUCGGUACACAGUUAUUUGGUUCAAUAGUCAUAUUGACGCGCAACGUACACAUGCUCAAACACAAACACUAUCAAUUGGCAGCCUCCAAUAGUGACAUGUCUAUUUUCUCUUCUCUCGAGCCAUAUGAUGGCACUGAGAUCGAAAGCAACACUUGAGACAAAUACUUGUUAAACCCCGCGCCCUAGCUCCGUCCGAGUUUUGGCACCAACAGCUAUACAUGCAUGUCCUAGUGUGCUAUUAGGGCUGAAUAAUUAAUAUAUAAUUUGUUCCCAAUUGCAUAGAAGUUCUUUUAUUAAUUUCAAAAUCAUAAUAUGGAUUUAUUCACAACGCAACUUUGUAGGCAACUUGGGGGCUGGACUAUAGUUUGAAAAGAAACAUCACCAAUGGCGGAUCCAGGAUUUCAAGAUCGGAGGUCCCAAGAUAAAAGUUCAAAACAAAAAAAAUUAAACUAGUGUGGUUCCAUAUCACUAUUUUUAUUGAAUUUGGCUCAUUAAAUAAUCGAAAUUAAUCAACCACAUCAAGUGGCCCAGUGGUAAGGGCACGAAUUUCGACUCUCAACAUACAAAAAACAGGAGGGUCCCGGAUCCAAGGCUCCAAGCUAAUGAGUCUGCUUGACUGUGGGCAAGAGAAAGCUGAAAUGCCUCUAUGAGUCUUCCAGGCCCCUAGAAGGGGUGGAUAACCGUGGCUUGCCACUAGUUGUCCCGCUUUAAAAAAAUAAUAAUAAUCAAGAUUAAACUCAAAGGUAAUAAAACCAACAAAUUCUCCUCAGCAACAUAACAUGUCAAUUAAUGACUCUACAAAGAUGAAAUUUGUUAAUGUAACAUAUAAUUACAAUUGGGAGCUGAGACUAGAGUCUAGGAUUAAAAAACUUAAAUGAAUUUGGAAGAAAUAAAAUUAGGGAGCUAGAGGUGGUGGAAUGGCAAAUGGUGUUGGGGGAUUGGGUAACUUGAGUUUAAAUUUGGGAGGUUGCGACGAUUUGGGGUUGGAGUUCUUAAACAUAAUUUGGGGAUACUGGAAAGGACCGGGGUUCUCAAGCUCUGUAUAAAAAACAUAGAUAUUUUAGUUUUUAAAUCUUUUAUAAUUACCUGGCUAAAAAACGCUGUCGUUUCGGCAAGGUCUUUUAAAAAAAAAAUGAGAAACCUCUUCUUCUUUGUUAUAAGCACUGCUGGAUGCACAUCCAUGGAGGCAACAAGCCUCUCCAAUCCACCUGCCCAAAUUGUUGGAGGGUCCCGAAGGUCGAUCACAAGUGUUUCUUCGGACUUCCAGAGGGUCCUAGGACCUCCCGGGUCCCUAAAUGGAUCCGCCCAUGACAGUAAGAUGAUAUUUUAGUCUUAUAAGCACACCCCCAGGGUUAUUGGCGUAGGCAUCUUCACACUUGUACACAACAUCAAUGACCCGAGUUAAAUUGAGAAUGCGGAUUAGCAGGGGCAUGGGGAUAGCGGUAGGGUGGAGGAACGCUUCGUUUUUGUCCUUCCAUGCAUUAUUCACUUGUCUUUGAAGUUUGAUUAUCGCUUCUUCUUCUGUGGCCCCAUGUGGCCCCAUAUUUCUUCACGUAACAGUUCAUAGCUGAGAUAAAAUGUUCUCUCUCUUGCUCAAACUAGACACCCAGCUAGGUUGCAACUCACUUAGACAUAAAAUAGAUAACUUUCAUUUUGCAUUAUUUUUUUAAUAAAUUGUAAGAAACUUGUUGAAUACUAAAAUGAACACAAAUUAUAUGCUUGUUCCUCAUGUUUUCAUUAUGUUUCAAUACUUCAUAAUAUAUGUCAUUCUAUUUUGUAAUUUAUGAUGUAAUUAUAAAUAUAUUUUAAGUAUAAACAGACACUUAUUAAACGAAAUAUAACAGAUUUACUUAAAUUCGCCUAAUCCGCCAAGCCCCACCUAGCCGCCUAGGCGCUAGGUCCCAUCCUACUGCCCGACUAGCGCCUAGCGUUUUUUAGAACCUUGUUUGUUUAUACACAUAUGGUAAAGCAUUUGCGGCACAUUUUUCUGGCCUUGUAAAACCUUUAGACUCAAUACUAAGCAUAUAUUGAAGAAUAGUACCGCUUCUCUUGCAUGGUGGAUGCGAUAUAAUUUUCCAUUGUGCGCAAACUUUUCAUGAAUUUCACUAUAUAUAUCCAACAAUGCCUGAUAGCAGACUUUCAUAUACUCUGGUAGUUGAUUUAUGGCUGAGACAUCCCACCUGAUCAAGUAAUACAUAAAUCAAUUGUGCAUAAUUAGGUUAGUUUUUCCUUUUUGAUCGGAUGGUGAUAUAAGGUAAGAUAUUUUAUAUAUAAGAGAAUUUUAACUAAUGAUAUAUUCAUGCCUCUCAAUAGCUUCAGUAAAGAGCUCCAGUUGUUCAUUUGUGCCAUAUUCAUAAACGUCAUCGAUAAUGGAUAAUUAUAGCAGUAACUUUGCAAGAUGUCCUCCUAGCAAAGGAAUAUUGAGGCUGAAAGUAGACUGACAAACUCCAGCAGAAGUAGACCUCUACCAAUCUGUCUCUUGCAAAAGGGAGCUUGUUAGGCACGUCCAAGUCCUUCCACCACCUGAUCAGUUACAAAAAUAAUUAUUUAGUAGCAAGAGGUGGAGAAUUCAACUGUUUAGUAAGUGACUAGUAAAAGUGCCCGCACGGAGUUGGGGUUUUAAAAUCAUGUAAAAUAUGUAGAAAGUUAUAAUGUGUAUAUAUACUAUUUACCUACAUGUGAAAUCUAUUUACAACCCUAAAAAAAGAUUUCAACUUCGACAUAACAAAAAUAGUUUGCAGAAAUCUUAGCAAGAAUUAACUACAAAUAUGAAGGGAUCCCCUAUAAUGAAUAGUUUGCACAACCCAAGAUGAUAUAGCAAGAAACGAAGAAUGAAAAACCUUUCCUUCUGUAAAAAUGAAAGUAGUAAUAACAACAUCAGUUCUAGACAUAUUUGAAGUGUCGAAUAUAGGAGCAUACUUAUUAGCUAUUGGAUUAUUCCUUGUCAAUGACAAACAGCCAAUUUCCGCACCAUUUUUCUAGAGCUUCAUAGUUGACAUAGUCUGAAGCUACGUAACAAAUCUCGCCACUUCUUUGAGAUAGUUUCGAGCAAUCUGUGGUUCCCAUGAGACACCUUUGCUUUACAUCUCAAUGUCAAAUAAUCAGGAAAUCCAGGAAUAAGACAUUGGUGCAAUGAUUCUCUAUAUUCCAAAAGAUUGUUAAAUAAAAUCAACGAAAUACUCGAAACCAUAAAAGAGAAAAACUACAUGUGUAUAGAGCUAUUCUUACAGGCAAACUGGUUGAGUUUGAUUCACAAGUUGAACACACGACUUAUUAACCAUAGUCAUUAGUGAUGACAUGGGUACUUAGUAAUGAAGAAUAUAGUUAGUUGAAAUGUGUUGGUAGGUUGUCAUAAGGAUAAGAUUGGUUAGUAUAGUUAGAAGGGUAUUAUUGUAAUUAGGUUAUAUGGCUAUAUAAGGGAUUGUAUAGCUAUCAUUUCCUUAAGUUCUUUUGUAUACAUUUUCUCCAUUUUAAUCAAUACAAUCUUUCUGGUUUUUCUCUCUAUCAUCUUCAUCUUCCUUUGUACCAAUUCUUCAUCUUUUACAAUGUAGUUAAUAUGGUAUCAGAGCCACCAGGCUUACGCCAUUGAUUCUGGUGGUUCCGUAUUAUUUUUUUUUCAUUAGUUUCAUUUUUUUUUCUUCCGUUAAUUUCCUUAGUGUUUCCGCAAUUGUUCCGUAACUUCUGGGUUGUGAACAAUAUAUUCCGAUAAGGUUUUUCUGGGUUGUGAAUUGAGAUGUCGGAUCACAGAUCGUAGUCAGGGAAUUCUUUGGAGUGUUGUUUGGAGUGACGGAUCGUGGUGUACACAAGAAGCCUCCGGACAGACGUAGACUCACAUCUUCACCUCUUUGCUCGACCUCUGUCGCAGCUUCCAUGGCAGAUUAUGGCCGCGUCGAUGAAGAUGAAAAUCUGAUCCCUCUGAAACCAUUUGCUGCAAAUUUCGCAGACAAAUCGGUUCAUCGACAGACGGGUCUUCAGGGCAGUGCAAUCACCUCCGCAUCUGGAUCUGGCAUUCCUGAUUUGGGAUGUUGUCAGUUUCAAGAUCAUGCCGAGGAAGACGACGGACCAGAACGUGAGCUUGGCGAGCGAGCCGUGCCAGUGGAGGUGGUAUUCCAAGAUACGACGACGUUUGGGUUUUGUUCAGUUGCUCUUGCUCGACUCGAUCGUCUCGGAAUUUCUCUUCUGUGUUGCUGAUUGGACAGUGGGAUCUUGGACUUUGUUAGGUUGUUUCUUGUAUCUGUCAUCUUCUUUAUGCAUAUAUGGUGUUUGUGAAAAUGUCUGAAUGAAACUAAAUGCCGCAAGGAGAUCGGUGAUCUGGAGAUUUGGUUCUUUCCGCUGUUAUCGUCUUCAAGGGUUGUUGCAGAGGUGCGAAAUCAGAGUGUUGGAUUCUUCUGGGCUUUAAUUCGAAGAUUAUAGUCAAUUUUUUUAUUUCUGGGUUGCUAAAUUCUCAAGAUGUUGAAGUGGGAUAUUUCUGAUUGCUCUGGGAUAUAUGUGUUGAUUUGGGUGUUUGUGUUCAUCUGCAUAUAUUGUAUUGGAUAUGGUGAUGUGUUGAAAUACGAAGUUUUGUAGUCAAGAAAGUGUCAAUCUUUACAAGAAAGUGUUAUUCUUUCUGCAUCAACAUCGUGUGGGAGUUUCUACGAUUCUGAUGAUCUGGUGAAGACUUCCGAUUGUUUGGGUGCUGCUUGAAGAUUGGGUGUUUGGUGAUCUGACACGGCGCUGUAUGGUUGUUUGGAGAUUUGGUGGUGCGAUUUUGGUAAAUCAGGUGAAUUCGUUUACUGGUUUUGUUUGUUGCUUAUUUCGUGAAGAUGUGGCCUUUGAUGUACUUUCGAGAUUUUAUUGAAGUGAAGAUUUGGAGUUUUUUUUUUUGGUAGAAUCUUGAUGUGUUGAUCUCUGCAAGUAUUAGUUUUCUUGUCAAUUUAAAGAAGAAAGUGUCAUUCUUUCUAUGAAGCUUGGAGUUUCAUUCUCCUAAGUUGCAGUAUGAUUUGGAGUUUCAUUCUCCUAAGUUGUAGUAUGAUUUGUGUUCAUGGAGUGUCAGUCUCCUUAUUUGGUAUUUUUAGUAGAACUGUGAGAUUUGUGUUGUGCUUUGGAGUGUCAUUCUCCUUGGCUGAUUUGGUUUCUUGGAGUGUCAUUCUCCUUGGUAGAUUUAGUUUCUUGGAGUGUCAUUCUCCGUGGUAGUUUAGUUUCUUGGGAGUGUCAUUCUCCUUGGUAGAUUUAGUUUCUUGGCAGUGUCAACUAUGGCUUCUCAGUUCACAGUCGAAAAUUUGUUGGGUAUGUUCAGACCAAGACCACGAAGCAUAGCUCUUUCUCCUGCAACCAUCAUGUACUUUGGAACAUCCUGUGCCAUCACAGAACCACCACCAAUAAAUGAGAAAUAGUCAACAUGGCAGAAUUGAUGAACGACAACAGCCCCUGCAGACAUCUUGGUCUUGCAGUUCCAGAUUAGUUUCAGCGUUCUAGCUCGUUCAACCUUCACUUGGCUACACCAAGUUCAGUUUGAGGGGGGAGUAUUAACCAUAGUCAUUAGUGAUGACAUGGUUACUUAGUAAUGAAGAAUAUAGUUAGUUGAAAUGUGUUGGUAGGUUGUCAUAAGGAUAAGAUUGGUUAGUAUAGUUAGAAGGGUAUUAUUGUAAUUAGGUUAUAUGGCUAUAUAAGGGAUUGUAUAGCUAUCAUUUCCUUAAGUUCUUUUGUAUACAUUUUCUCCAUUUUAAUCAAUACAAUCUUUCUGUUUUUUCUCUCUAUCAUCUUCAUCUUCCUUUGUACCAAUUCUUCAUCUUUUACAAUGUAGUUAAUACGACUUACCCAUUCUUAUGAUAAAAUGUGUGUUGUCUGUUGAGUUUGAGGGGUUAUGUUUUAUACAUUUAAUGAUAUUAAUAUCUUGUUAUCAAGAGGAAUAUGACGGACUAUUCUUAAUUAAUGUCACCUAUAUAGGAGUAAAUGGGGCCGCAUUUAUGAGAAUUGAAAUGGCUAAAUUAUCUAAAACUCCUACGAAAUCCGGGAUUUGUUCAGGGCCAAAAUGAACACAACCGUAUGAAUUGACAUGUGGCAGACAUGCUAUGUGUGUAGCAUGAACAGUUCAAGAUCUUCCACAUCCAUUGUGUCACCAAGUAAACCCGAUAUGUUUUCACUAGGGUAAGUUUAAGUCCAAAAGACACUUCACCUGAUGCAUAUCAUGUCUAUUCUCUCUUAGUUUUAGGCAGCCUAGACAUACAUUUGCAUUUACAUUUGCAUUCAAAUGUGGGGUAUUGUUGGAGUUUGAAUGAAAUUUCAACUCAAAUGUAGGGUAUUGUUGGAUUUUGAGUAGAAAUUUCAUUGUCCCACAUUGGCCAUUCCUAAAAGGUUUCCUCAUCAAGAUGUCAUGUCGAAUCUGUGUCCAAGUUUUGGCACCAACAGCUAUACAUUCAUGUUCUAACAGCUAUAUAUUCAUGUUCUAGUGUGCUAUUUGAGUUGAAGAAAUAAUAUAUGAUUUAUUCAAACUACAUAGAAAGUUCUUUUAUUAAUCAUAAAAUCAUAAACAUGGAAAACAAACGCACAACCCAAAUUACAUUUUUGCAGUCUUAACGGAUGGUAGCUAGCUCCUUAUUAUUUGUAGGCAACUUGGGCGCUGGAGAUACACUUUCAAAAGAAACAUUACAGUAAGUGGAUAUUUUAGGCUUA
Molecule: long non-coding RNA, 31645 nt
Filed under: Malus domestica (apple)
Lineage: Eukaryota; Viridiplantae; Streptophyta; Magnoliopsida; Rosales; Rosaceae
Description: long non-coding RNA (MDOM_LNC011555)
Source: RNAcentral